GGACUGGGAGUGGGAAGGACCCCAAGAGAGGGCAGGCUGCCCCAGGCCCUGCCCCCUCCAGGAAGCCUUCUCUCUCCAGCCC
This 82-nucleotide microRNA precursor is filed under the name Nannospalax galili (Upper Galilee mountains blind mole rat). Its description in RNAcentral is "miRNA (ENSNGAG00000005245.1)". It matches the Rfam family "mir-3072 microRNA precursor family". The record is from Rfam by way of RNAcentral. Lineage: Eukaryota; Metazoa; Chordata; Mammalia; Rodentia; Spalacidae.